Molecule: unclassified non-coding RNA, 22 nt
Filed under: Dictyostelium discoideum
Lineage: Eukaryota; Evosea; Eumycetozoa; Dictyosteliales; Dictyosteliaceae
Source: RNAcentral
UGGUAUCGACUCUACUGAUUGU